GGGUCACUAGCUCAGCGGUAGAGCACUCGGCUUUUAACCGAUUGGUCCCGGGUUCGAAUCCCGGGUGACCCA
RNAcentral lists this transfer RNA (72 nucleotides) under Pantanalinema sp. GBBB05. RNAcentral describes it as "tRNA-Lys". It matches the Rfam family "tRNA". Rfam says of the family: Transfer RNA (tRNA) molecules are approximately 80 nucleotides in length. Their secondary structure includes four short double-helical elements and three loops (D, anti-codon, and T loops). RNAcentral also lists the same sequence under 2 other names. Lineage: Bacteria; Bacillati; Cyanobacteriota; Cyanophyceae; Leptolyngbyales; Leptolyngbyaceae. The record is from RNAcentral.